GGGCCCACACAAGCGGUGGAGCAUGUGGUUUAAUUCGAUGAUACGCGAGGAACCUUACCAAGGCUUAAAUGUAGGAGGACAGGCUGUGAAAACAGCCCUUCUUCGGACCUCCUACAAGGGUGCUGCAUGGUUGUCGUCAGCUCGUGCCGUGAGGUGUCGGGUUAAGUCCCAUAACGAGCGCAACCCCUAUCUUUAGUUGCCAGCGGUUCGGCCGGGGACUCUAAAGAAACUGCCCGCGCAAGCGGUGAGGAAGGUGGGGAUGACGUCAAAUCAUCACGGCCCUUACGUCUUGGGCUACACACGUGCUACAAUGGUAGUGACAAUGGGCAGCCACCCCGCGAGGGG
This 345-nucleotide ribosomal RNA is filed under the name uncultured bacterium. RNAcentral's name for it is "bacterial SSU rRNA". It matches the Rfam family "Bacterial small subunit ribosomal RNA", at positions 917 to 1264 of the family's 1533-position model. The record is from RNAcentral.